This 362-nucleotide transfer RNA is filed under the name uncultured Microcystis sp. RNAcentral describes it as "partial 16S-23S ribosomal RNA intergenic spacer". The stretch from base 134 to 207 matches the Rfam family "tRNA". The record is from RNAcentral. Lineage: Bacteria; Bacillati; Cyanobacteriota; Cyanophyceae; Chroococcales; Microcystaceae.
AGGGAGACCUAAUUCCGGUAGGAGACGAAAAAAAAGUAGUCCCAACCAAGAAUCAAUCCCAAAAGGUCGGAGCGAGGCGAAAUUGGCUUUCAAACUAGGUUCUGGGUUCACACAAGACCUGAAUCAGGAACAAGGGCUAUUAGCUCAGGUGGUUAGAGCGCACCCCUGAUAAGGGUGAGGUCCCUGGUUCGAGUCCAGGAUGGCCCACCUGCACAGGUGGCAAAAACAAAGAAAAAAAGCUCCGAAUCAGCACCUUAUCUUACUUAUACAGUAAGAGAGAAUGCUGGCUCUGAGUUCAGAGUCCAGAGGAACCUUGGAAACUGCAUAGAGCUAGGUGAAAAAGCCAAAAAAGAAGACCGCAA